AACGAACGCUGGCGGCAUGCCUAACACAUGCAAGUCGAACGAGACCUCCGGGCCUAGUGGCGCACGGGGGCGUAACGCGUGGGAACCUGCCCUUAGGUUCGGAAUAACUCACUGAAAGGGGUGCUAAUACCGGAUAAGGUCUUCGGACCAAAGAGUUAUCGCGGUUGGAUGGGCUCGCGAUGGAUUAGCUAGUUGGGAGGGUAAAAGCCGAUCAAGGCUAGGAUCGGUAGCUGGUCUGAGAGGAUGAUCAGCCACACUGGGACUGAGAUACGGCCCAGACCCCUACGCGAGGCAGCAGGGGGGAGUAGUAUACAAGAGGCUGAACCCUGACGUAGCACCGCCGCGUCCGGGAUGUCGUCCUGCCGUUAGGAAAGCGCUGCUCUCUUUGACGGAGCGUUAGUGACGGUAACGGGAAAAGAAGCACCGGCUAACUCCGUG
Molecule: ribosomal RNA, 438 nt
Filed under: uncultured bacterium
Lineage: Bacteria
Description: partial 16S ribosomal RNA
Rfam family: Bacterial small subunit ribosomal RNA
Source: RNAcentral